CGUGUAGGCGGUUGGUCAAGUCCGGUGUGAAAGCCCGAGGCUCAGCUUCGGAAGUGCAUCGGAAACUAGCCGACUGGAGCGCGAUAGAGGAGGGUGGAAUUCCUGGUGUAGCGGUGAAAUGCGUAGAUAUCAGGAGGAACACCGGCGGCGAAGGCGGCCCUCUGGAUCGUUGCUGACGCUGAGACGCGAAAGCGUGGGGAGCAAACAGGAUUAGAUACCCUGGUAGUCCACGCUGUAAACGAUGGGUACUAGGUGUUCGGGGUAUUGACCCCCUGAGUGCCGCAGUUAACGCAUUAAGUACCCCGCCUGGGGACUACGGCCGCAAGGUUAAA
Molecule: ribosomal RNA, 332 nt
Filed under: uncultured bacterium
Lineage: Bacteria
Description: bacterial SSU rRNA
Rfam family: Bacterial small subunit ribosomal RNA
Source: RNAcentral